Long non-coding RNA from Athalia rosae (coleseed sawfly), 323 nucleotides. RefSeq lists it as uncharacterized. The record is from RefSeq and is a predicted model, not a curated record. The transcript has 2 exons. Lineage: Eukaryota; Metazoa; Arthropoda; Insecta; Hymenoptera; Athaliidae.
GAGGGAAACGAAACUCCUUAGGGCUUUCAGGAGUAUUCGAGCAACGAGUUACAACAGAUUUAUUUAUUAUCUGGGUCAAGGUCCAGGCACCGUUUUUGUUAUUUUACCUUCCGCGUCACGCGCGAUAAAAGAUAAGAGAGGAAGCUGAAGGUAGGCAGGCAGGCAGCGGUGAGGAAGCAGCAGCCCCGAAAGCGGAAAGAGUCUACUUACCGGCCAUUUCGGACACCGGAUUUUUUCAACUCUUUAUAAUAAACGUACUUCAACCGAAACUACCUUGUAUAGUAAAGAGAAAAAUUAUUUAAAAUAAAACCGAUGUUAGCGGA